This 500-nucleotide ribosomal RNA is filed under the name uncultured bacterium. RNAcentral's name for it is "partial 16S ribosomal RNA". It matches the Rfam family "Bacterial small subunit ribosomal RNA", at positions 28 to 523 of the family's 1533-position model. The record is from RNAcentral.
GAUGAACGCUGGCGGUGUGCUUAACACAUGCAAGUCGAACGGCAGCACGGACUUCGGUCUGGUGGCGAGUGGCGAACGGGUGAGUAAUGUAUCGGAACGUACCUUUCAGUGGGGGAUAACGUAGCGAAAGUUACGCUAAUACCGCAUAUUCUGUGAGCAGGAAAGCAGGGGAUCGCAAGACCUUGCGCUGAUUGAGCGGCCGAUAUCAGAUUAGCUAGUUGGUGGGGUAACGGCCUACCAAGGCUACGAUCUGUAGCGGGUCUGAGAGGAUGAUCCGCCACACUGGGACUGAGACACGGCCCAGACUCCUACGGGAGGCAGCAGUGGGGAAUUUUGGACAAUGGGGGCAACCCUGAUCCAGCCAUGCCGCGUGAGUGAAGAAGGCCUUCGGGUUGUAAAGCUCUUUCGGCCGGGAAGAAAUCGCAUCAGCUAAUACCUGGUGUGGAUGACGGUACCGGAAUAAGAAGCACCGGCUAACUACGUGCCAGCAGCCGCGGUAA